AUUAAUACAAGUGAAACUAGUAACUUUUUGUCAAGAGAAAUGCCGGGAACAAGUUCAGCAGUGGAGAAAAAGGUGGCAAGGGGUGAUUUCAGAGACCCAUACAGAGCUUGUUCAGGCUUCUUGCUGAGCUGUAACAAACGUACUGAAUUUCUAUGCCCUCCACUGUGAAUCUAUAGUCAACUUUAUCCAGUCAUGCUGAAGGACCAAGAGAUUUCAAGAGAGAACACCUCUCAGGACUGUCCUGAUCCUCCAAUGUGAAUAUAUGGUGAACUUCCAGGAUACAUCAACCACAGAGUCACGCUGGAUCACUUAAAAAUUCUAGAGAAGUGUUAAGAUAGCAUUUCUAUUCAUAACUUCUUUUACUUUCACAUGAGCCCCAUGCCCCUAACUCCAGUGAAUGUGGAGAGAGCUGAUUAUUUCAUUGUUAAAUUAUCUCAUGAGACAUUUCUGAAGAAAUUUGAACUGUGAUACAACAUUUUCUUAACACUGUUCUCAAUUUCAGAAUCUAUACUAUGCAUAUACAAGAGGACGCAAAUGUUUGAGCAGUCUAUUUUUAAUUUUGUAAGUGAAGGAGGACAAAGGGAGAUGAGAGUCACACCUGUAGAUGUUAUGCAUACCAAUCCUUUUGAAAUCUUCAUAACUAUAAAACCUGAUUACCAGCCUCCUUGCUUGAUUGGAUUGUUUGUUUUGCUAUCUGCUUAGAUCUCAGACUUGGGCUUGGUGAACGGGUCAAGAGAGGGCUUCACGGUUGGCCCACAUUUACCGUGAGGUACAUCCUCGCACACUGGGCCUCACAUGACCUGGUUACCUCAAGCAAACUGCAAGCUGCUAUUUAAAAGGGCCCAGCUUCCUAGUGCUCAGCAGUCAUGUGAAUCCGCACUAAGAAGCCUGCACUCUGUUCUGUGAAUGGAUUAUUCCUGAAUUUGUUUAAACCCAUGGCAAAACUGGCAGCCCUCGAACUAAUCUUCUCUGUUUACAAACACUAGACAAAGCGGCCCUAUUAACAUGCAUCAUCUGACCUGCGGGGAUAUACAAUCAACUGAAAGCUGUCUGACUGUUUCCAUGAUCUAUAUGUCGAAACUGAUUUGUGUCAACAUGCUGUGGUGCUUCCAAGAGCGCAAGGGAUGAGGGUGAAUUCUUGAUUCCGACAAGAAACAUGCAUCUGAACAUUACAAUGAAGCCAAUUUGGACGAGUUCAUCUGUGAAACUGAAUAGCCUGCAAAGAGGUGCUUUUGUGGAAGGAUGAGAAUGAGGCAAAAAGUUAGCUUCUAUAGCUUGUGAAGAAAGCCCUCAUCCGUCCCAGAUGUUUGCAUUAUCCCCCACGUCAUACACACACAUUUCCACAAUUCUUCUAGCAAUAGAUUGUGUUGUACAAAAUCA
This is a long non-coding RNA of Anolis carolinensis (green anole), 1380 nucleotides long. RefSeq lists it as uncharacterized. The record is from RefSeq and is a predicted model, not a curated record. NCBI's taxonomy places the organism in Eukaryota, Metazoa, Chordata, Lepidosauria, Squamata, Anolidae. The transcript has 5 exons.